Molecule: small RNA, 514 nt
Filed under: uncultured Glomus
Lineage: Eukaryota; Fungi; Glomeromycota; Glomeromycetes; Glomerales; Glomeraceae
Description: SSU rRNA
Rfam family: Eukaryotic small subunit ribosomal RNA
Source: RNAcentral
AGCAGCCGCGGUAAUUCCAGCUCCAAUAGCGUAUAUUAAAGUUGUUGCAGUUAAAAAGCUCGUAGUUGAAUUUCGGGGUCAGUAGAUUGGUCGUGCCACUGGUAUGUACUGGUCUUACUGGCUCCUCCUUCCUGAUGAACCGUAAUGCCAUUAAUUUGGUGUUGCGGGGAGACUGGACUGUUACUUUGAAAAAAUUAGAGUGUUUAAAGCAGGCUAACGCUUGAAUACAUUAGCAUGGAAUAAUGAAAUAGGACGUUCGAUCUUAUUUUGUUGGUUUCUAAGAUUGACGUAAUGAUUAAUAGGGAUAGUUGGGGGCAUUAGUAUUCAAUUGUCAGAGGUGAAAUUCUUGGAUUUAUUGAAGACUAACUACUGCGAAAGCAUUUGCCAAGGAUGUUUUCAUUAAUCAAGAACGAAAGUUAGGGGAUCGAAGACGAUCAGAUACCGUCGUAGUCUUAACCAUAAACUAUGCCGACUAGGGAUCGGAUGAUGUUAAUUUUUUAAUGACUCAUUCGGC